RNAcentral lists this transfer RNA (69 nucleotides) under Bos taurus (domestic cattle). It matches the Rfam family "tRNA". From Rfam's summary of the family: Transfer RNA (tRNA) molecules are approximately 80 nucleotides in length. Their secondary structure includes four short double-helical elements and three loops (D, anti-codon, and T loops). Further hydrogen bonds mediate the characteristic L-shaped molecular structure. tRNAs have two regions of fundamental functional importance: the anti-codon, which is responsible for specific mRNA codon recognition, and the 3' end, to which the tRNAs corresponding amino acid is attached (by aminoacyl-tRNA synthetases). tRNAs cope with the degeneracy of the genetic code in two manners: having more than one tRNA (with a specific anti-codon) for a particular amino acid; and 'wobble' base-pairing, i.e. permitting non-standard base-pairing at the 3rd anti-codon position. Lineage: Eukaryota; Metazoa; Chordata; Mammalia; Artiodactyla; Bovidae. RNAcentral also lists the same sequence under 1 other name. The record is from Rfam by way of RNAcentral.
CCUGGUGGUUCAGAGGGUAAAGCAUCUGCCUACAAUGCUGAAGACCCAGGUUCGAUCCCUGGGUCAGGA